RNAcentral lists this ribosomal RNA (468 nucleotides) under uncultured bacterium. RNAcentral describes it as "partial 16S ribosomal RNA". It matches the Rfam family "Bacterial small subunit ribosomal RNA", at positions 28 to 507 of the family's 1533-position model. The record is from RNAcentral.
GACGAACGCUGGCGGCGUGCUUAACACAUGCAAGUCGAACGGAAAGGCCCUGCUUUUGUGGGGUGCUCGAGUGGCGAACGGGUGAGUAACACGUGAGUAACCUGCCCUUGACUUUGGGAUAACUUCAGGAAACUGGGGCUAAUACCGGAUAGGAGCUCCUGCUGCAUGGUGGGGGUUGGAAAGUUUCGGCGGUUGGGGCUGGACUGGCGGCUUAUCAGCUUGUUGGUGGGGUAGUGGCUUACCAAGGCUUUGACGGGUAGCCGGCCUGAGAGGGUGACCGGCCACCAUGGGACUGCGGGACGGCCCAGACGCCUACGGGAGGCAGUAGUGGGGAAUAUUGCACAAUGGGGGGAAGCCUGAUGCAGCAACGCCGCGUGCGGAAUGACGGCCUUCGGGUUGUAAACCGCUUUGGCCUGUGACGAAGCGUGAGUGACGGUAAUGGGUAAAGAAGCACCGGCUAACUACGUG